This 119-nucleotide non-coding RNA is filed under the name Desulfuromonadaceae bacterium. RNAcentral describes it as "MoCo sequence". It matches the Rfam family "Molybdenum/Tungsten riboswitch aptamer (Moco RNA motif)". Lineage: Bacteria; Pseudomonadati; Thermodesulfobacteriota; Desulfuromonadia; Desulfuromonadales; Desulfuromonadaceae. The record is from RNAcentral.
CUAUAAUUAAAACUCCGAAUCGUCCGACCUACCGGGAUUAUCCCCAAGGCGCGCGAUCUAUGGGUUCGGUUGGAAACGGCCGGGCCUCCCUUUUGGAAAGGAGCCCUCGGUUGACCGGC